AAGCUUUUUGCUCGCAUUAUAU
This 22-nucleotide microRNA is filed under the name Sarcophilus harrisii (Tasmanian devil). RNAcentral's name for it is "Sha-Mir-208-P1_5p* (star (passenger))". The record is from RNAcentral. Lineage: Eukaryota; Metazoa; Chordata; Mammalia; Dasyuromorphia; Dasyuridae.